This 444-nucleotide ribosomal RNA is filed under the name uncultured bacterium. Its description in RNAcentral is "bacterial SSU rRNA". It matches the Rfam family "Bacterial small subunit ribosomal RNA", at positions 331 to 792 of the family's 1533-position model. The record is from RNAcentral.
CCAGACUCCUACGGGAGGCAGCAGUGGGGAAUAUUGCACAAUGGGGGAAACCCUGAUGCAGCGACGCCGCGUGAGUGAAGAAGUAUUUCGGUAUGUAAAGCUCUAUCAGCAGGGAAGAUAAUGACGGUACCUGAGUAAGAAGCCCCGGCUAACUACGUGCCAGCAGCCGCGGUAAUACGUAGGGGGCAAGCGUUAUCCGGAUUUACUGGGUGUAAAGGGAGCGUAGACGGCAUGGCAAGUCUGAAGUGAAAGCCCGGGGCUCAACCGCGGGACUGCUUUGGAAACUGUUAAGCUGGAGUGCAGGAGAGGUAAGUGGAAUUCCUAGUGUAGCGGUGAAAUGCGUAGAUAUUAGGAGGAACACCAGUGGCGAAGGCGGCUUACUGGACUGUAACUGACACUGAGGCACGAAAGCGUGGGGAGCAAACAGGAUUAGAUACCCGUGUA